GGGAGAGUCAAACUGGAUUCCACAGGGAGAGCCUGCAAAUCACUUCUAUUUUAGCAAGGAGAAAACAGAAUCUCCAUCCAGCAGGGUCCACCCCUCUCUUUCUCCCUCUCCUCUCUUUUUCUAUCUCUUUCCCUCCCCCCUUCCUCUUUCCCUCUCUCUCCCCUUCCCCCCCCCCCCUCCGGUGUAUCUGUCUACAGCAACCAGCGUCCUCAUCUACACGCACGGAAAGGAAAGAAACAUCUUUGGUUGAGAGAGGAGGAGGAAAAAAGAGAGAGAAAAAAACUUGCCUGGUUGUGGAAAAUGACACUUCAAGUAGCCAAGCCGGCUUCGAGAGUCGUAUCUAUUGUUUCUUAAAUUGUCAUCAGGGUGGUUUUUUUUCUUCCUGCUUCUUCAAGUGAAGGUACCGCUACAAAAGGAAACUCCAGCCCCUCCUGUUCUCCAACGGCCUGUGAUUACU
Molecule: long non-coding RNA, 457 nt
Filed under: Mus musculus (house mouse)
Lineage: Eukaryota; Metazoa; Chordata; Mammalia; Rodentia; Muridae
Description: long non-coding RNA chr11:44617316-44617773
Source: RNAcentral